Molecule: long non-coding RNA, 663 nt
Filed under: Marmota monax (woodchuck)
Lineage: Eukaryota; Metazoa; Chordata; Mammalia; Rodentia; Sciuridae
Source: RNAcentral
CCAGGCCUGCCCAUGCCAGGCAGUGGCUCUACCACUGAGCCACAUCCCAGCCCACAGACGCACCUCUUUAAGUCUCCACCACCUCCAAUAGCCCCAUGGGUUGGGGACCAAGCUUCUAACACAUGGACCAUUGGGGGACACUUAAGAUCCAAACUAAUAGGCCAGGAGAAGAGUGGGGCUCCUCUGGCUAGGGCCUUGGCCUCAGGAAGGAGGCGCUAUCCCAAGGGCCUGGGCUGCUCAGGAGGGAAUUUCGCAAGCAGGGUUGGGGCAUGGGAGGGGAUAGCAGGUCAGCCCUUCUCUUCAGAGGGACCCAGGGAGGCUAGAGUAGAAGAGCAUGGCUUUGUGAUAGACUGAGCAAGAGACUGAAGUGGACUAGGGUAGAUUGGAGGCAAAUGGACGCCUCGGGGAAAAACAGUUUGCCGGACUUGGCUAAGGCUAGCUAACGUGAUGGGGAGGCCAAGGGUGGGUCUGAGGUUUCUGGCUUCCACACCUGGGUGGUUAGUCAUGCUGAGCACUCAGCUAGGGUGCCAAGGGUUGGGGAGGGCGAGCAGUAGCAGGCUGGCUAGGUGUGUGUACCUUUGGUACAUUCAAGAGAUGUCAAGCAGGUAGCUGUAUGUAAAAUAUCUUGAACAUUGGAAUAAAAGUAAAUUUUGAAAACAUCUG